This 253-nucleotide ribosomal RNA is filed under the name uncultured bacterium. Its description in RNAcentral is "partial 16S ribosomal RNA". It matches the Rfam family "Bacterial small subunit ribosomal RNA", at positions 524 to 776 of the family's 1533-position model. The record is from RNAcentral.
UACGGGGGGGGCAAGCGUUGUUCGGAAUUACUGGGCGUAAAGGGUCUGUAGGUGGCCAACUAAGUCAUACGUGAAAUCCCUCAGCUUAACUGGGGAACUGCGUCUGAUACUGGUUGGCUUGAGUGCAGGAGAGGAACGCGGAAUUCCAGGUGUAGCGGUGAAAUGCGUAGAUAUCUGGAGGAACACCGGUGGCGAAGGCGGCAUUCUGGACCAAUAUUGACGCUGAGGAGCGAAAGCCAGGGGAGCAAACGGG